RNAcentral lists this non-coding RNA (181 nucleotides) under Acidobacteriota bacterium. Its description in RNAcentral is "Acidobacteria bacterium 6S RNA". It matches the Rfam family "6S / SsrS RNA". From Rfam's summary of the family: E. coli 6S RNA was the first non coding RNA to be sequenced, but its function was unknown until recently. It consists of 184 nucleotides that fold into an extended hairpin structure with a large single-stranded internal bulge. The record is from RNAcentral. Lineage: Bacteria; Pseudomonadati; Acidobacteriota.
CUUCCCCUGUGUGGCUCGUAUUGGGUCGCGUGAAUUGAACCAACAGAUCAUUGAAGUGGGAGGAAAUGCUGUUCCGCGGUGAGCAUGCCCCGCGCGUGGGGACGCCUGAUGCGGAAGCUGCCCUCCCCAUCUGGGAAACCAGGUUCAAAUGAUCCGGUCCUCACGGCCGCGCGGAGGAAGC